Molecule: ribosomal RNA, 180 nt
Filed under: uncultured Glomeromycotina
Lineage: Eukaryota; Fungi; Glomeromycota
Description: partial small subunit ribosomal RNA
Source: RNAcentral
GACCUGGCUGGGCGGUCCGCUUAACGGCGUGUACUGUCUGGCUGGGCCUUACCUCUUGGUGAGCCGGCGUGCCCUUUAUUGGUGUGCGUCGGGGAACCAGGACUUUUACCUUGAGAAAAUUAGAGUGUUUAAAGCAGGCUCACGCUUGAAUACAUUAGCAUGGAAUAACGGAAUAGGACG